This is a long non-coding RNA of Drosophila montana, 636 nucleotides long. RefSeq lists it as uncharacterized. Lineage: Eukaryota; Metazoa; Arthropoda; Insecta; Diptera; Drosophilidae. The record is from RefSeq and is a predicted model, not a curated record. The transcript has 3 exons.
GUGAUUUUGGGACAACAGCAUUGCUAAUUUGAUGACGGAUAUUUUCUAGCAACUUCAUCUGAUCUCAUUUGGUGCACGUCUUCCAAUUAUCUCCGUGUAAUUACGUGAUCGCUUAAAAACAGAUAUCAUAAACAUAGACUGAAAUAGCAUCACAUCAGGUUGCGCGUUGUGAUACAAGGUGAUUUUGGGCCAACAGCAUUGCUAAUUUAAUGUCGGAUGUUUUGUAGCUGCUUAAUCUGGGCGCAUCUGUUGUACGUCUUCCAAUUAUCUUCUCGUAAUUACGUGAUCGUAAUUCUAUUGUGCAGCCUGAAGCAGACUGUUUGCUCUUUUUCUCUCGCGCCUGCUAUUGCCAUGGGCUCGAUGGUAUUGGCAGCUUCCGGCGUAGAUGCUGUCAUACCCUUCCGAUUGUUGGAUUCACAGCUAGAUUGACAAAUUAAGGACUGCAAUGAAUUCCAAGGAUCUCCUCGAGGGACAAAGCAAAUUUUUCCAGGAUCGGACUUUAAUUAAGAACAACUAAGCUAAAAUUCUAAUUUAUGCUCGUUUUGUACACCUUUAAGAGAAAUAAUUAAGAAAAUAAGCAUAAAAAAAUUAUUUUAUAAAUUUAAACAAAAAUAAAUGCAUUAUUUAAAAUGAAAA